UACGGGGGGAGCAAGCGUUGUUCGGAUUUACUGGGCGUAAAGGGCGCGUAGGCGGUCAGCACAAGUCAGUUGUGAAAUCUCCGGGCUUAACUCGGAAAGGUCAACUGAUACUGUGCGACUAGAGUGCAGAAGGGGCAACUGGAAUUCCCGGUGUAGCGGUGAAAUGCGUAGAUAUCGAGAGGAACACCUGCGGCGAAGGCGGGUUGCUGGGCUGACACUGACGCUGAUGCGCGAAAGCCAGGGGAGCGAACGGG
This 254-nucleotide ribosomal RNA is filed under the name uncultured bacterium. RNAcentral describes it as "partial 16S ribosomal RNA". It matches the Rfam family "Bacterial small subunit ribosomal RNA", at positions 524 to 776 of the family's 1533-position model. The record is from RNAcentral.